UACGGAGGGUGCAAGCGUUAAUCGGAAUUACUGGGCGUAAAGCGCACGCAGGCGGUUUGUUAAGUGAGAUGUGAAAUCCCCGGGCUCAACCUGGGAACUGCAUCUCAUACUGGGAAGCUUGAGUCUUGUAGAGGGGGGUAGAAUUCCAUGUGUAGCGGUGAAAUGCGUAGAGAUGUGGAGGAAUACCGGUGGCGAAGGCGGCCCCCUGGACAAGGACUGACGCUCAGGUGCGAAAGCGUGGGGAGCAAACAGG
Molecule: ribosomal RNA, 253 nt
Filed under: uncultured bacterium
Lineage: Bacteria
Description: partial 16S ribosomal RNA
Rfam family: Bacterial small subunit ribosomal RNA
Source: RNAcentral